Molecule: long non-coding RNA, 5607 nt
Organism: Oncorhynchus tshawytscha (Chinook salmon)
Lineage: Eukaryota; Metazoa; Chordata; Actinopteri; Salmoniformes; Salmonidae
Source: Ensembl
AAUCUCCAAGCUGCACGCAUUGAUCCAUGUGAUUGAGGGGAGAGAGGAGACUUCCACGAACGAUAUAUCAUCGAAGAGAUAUGUGAAAAACACCUUGAGGAUUGAUUCUAAACAACGUUUACCAUGUUUCAGUCGAUAUUAUGGAGUUAAUUUGGAAAAAAGUUCGGCGUUUUGAUGACUGAAUUUUGGGGGUUUUUUGGUAGCCAAACGUGACGCACCAAACGGAGCGAUUUCUCCUAAACAAAUAAUCUUUCAGGAAAAACUGAGCAUUUGCUAUCUAACUGAGAGUCUCCUCAUUGAAAACAUCCGAAGUUCUUCAAAAGCGUUUGUGACAGAACUACCCACCACCAAAGGACCAAUUAGCGUAGAGAAAGGGACUCAAGGACAUGGGAGGAGAUCCUGGACGGUAAAGGACCCUGGAGGCAGGCUGGAGAAUAUUGCCGUCCAAAGGAGGAGAUAAAGGCAGCGAAGGAGGAGCGGCGACGAUAUGAGUAGGCAAGUCAUCGACGGAAGCCCGAGAAGCCACUCCAAAAAUGUUUUUGGGAGAGGGACACAAGGAGGUUGGCGGUGCAUGGUACUGGUCAGGCACCGUGUUAUGCGGUAAAACGCACAGUGUCUCCAGUGCGCGUGCACAGCCCGGUGCGCUCGGAGCCAGCUCUCCGCAAGUGCCACGCUAGAGUGGGCAUCCAGCCAGGGCAGAUUGUGCCAGCUCAGCGCUCUUGGUCUCCGGUGCCCCGUUUCAGCCCAGGGUAUCCUGCGCCGGCUCUGCGCACUGUGUCUCCGGUGCGCUGUGACAGUUCAGUGCGUCCUGUGCCUGCGCUCCGCACGUGCCGGGCUAAAGUGGGCAUUCAGCCUGGAAGAGUGAUGCCAAGAAUAAGCACCAGAUCUCCAGUGCUCCCCCACAGCCCGGUUCAUCCUGUGCCUGCUCCACGGGUCAGUCUGGGGCCUCCGGCGACGGUCCCCAGUCCGGGGCAUGCAUUUGAGCCAAUCAGUUGUGAUGUGACAAGGUAGGGUACACAGAAGGAAAGAAAUUAGCCCUAUUUGGUAAAAGACCAAGUCCAUAUUAUGGCAAGAACAGAUCAAAUAAGCAAAGAGAAACGACAGUCCACCCAGCACCUCUCCUCUGGACCAUAACUCUCCAAGUCAAGCAGGUAUUGGAAUCCCCUGCCCCACCAGGUAUUCGUAGUGUCUGCUAGCAGUGUUGAAGGAUGUCUUCCACUCAUCACCUUCCCGUAUCCACACCAGAUGGUAGGCGUUCCGCAGGUCCAACUUAGAGAAAAUGGUGACCCCCUGGAGCAGCUCGAAAGCCGAGGCGAUGAGUGGUGUCAUUGAGGCCCCGGUAGCUGAUGCACGGGAGCCAGCAGAGGAGGCAGAAGGACGGAUACACCUUGCAGCCAGGGAGUCUUUGAUGUACGUCUCCAAUGCCUUGGUCUCCGACCCGACAAUGAAUACAGCCGUCCCCGGGGUGGUGUAUAGCCCGGGAGAAGGUUGAUCCCACAUUCAUAGGGUCGAUGCGGAGGAAGCGAAGUGGCACGGGCCUUGCUGAAAACAUCCCGGAGGUCCUGGUACUCCGCGGGAACGGCAGAGAGGUUCCGAGCUUCUUCCGAGCCCACAGGGAGACGUCCCUUCCGAGCCCACAGGAACACGCCAACUUCAGGCAAUGGGUGUGGCAGAAUAGGCUCCAGCCCAUUAUAGCACCAGCAGUCCAGUUGAUAAAGGGAUUGGUUGCUGGAGCCAAGGAAACCCCAAUACCACGGGAACCUGAGGAUAUUAAAUGAGCUUGAAAUGCAUAGACUCUAAAAAUGUGAUUAUCAUGUAGUAGCCUAACCAAUCGAUGUCACAUUGAAAUGGGUAAAUGGAAUAUGAAUGACAGUCAUGCAAUAUGCUGUAAUAGAAAUAAGGCCAUGUUCAAGAAACUGGUACGUACAAUAACUACAAACGGUGUCUCUUUAUAAAAGGAAUUAUUGCUAACAACUUGAUGUGGCUUCACAUUACAAACAACAUGUGAGAGAUCGACGCUUUCCCCGUAAACCCCAAUUUCUGACAGGCCCUCAUUAGCAUAUGGCCAAUCAGGAUUAAAUAUGCAAAUAACACCAUGUCUUCCCUUUUCAGAGAACAAAGGGUAGACUGAUUUUGUCUCGACAGACCGCAGAGGAUUAUUCCUGCCCUUAUGUCGGAAGGUCUGUUCCUGACUAGUUCUUCUGGAUCAUUUCAACAUAGUCAUGGACAUAAAGUAUUUUCUGUAAACUUUAAUCAAAAUGCAUUUCUCAUUUCUUUUAACUCAAAUCUACCACACAGGUAAGUUAGAACUGUGACACCUUCACAACUGUUGUUUUCUCUUUUUUUCCCACAUAACAUUUACUUAGAGCUCAGUCUUUUGUUCUUGUUUAAAGUUUCUUGUUUCAAAGUUUAUAGGAUACAACAGGUGUAAAACAGUACAGUGAAAUUCUUAACCUGAGAGCAAUUUCUCAACAAUGCAGUGAAUAAAAAUUAGGGAUGCACGAUAUAUCGGUGACAAUAUUAGCUAAAAAUGCCAACAUCGGCAUCGGCCCGAUGUUUAGUUUAACCCCGAUGUGCAAAACCGAUGUCAAAGCUGACGUGCAUACCUAUAUAACGUAGGUACAUGAAAAUGACGCCACGUAAAAUGUUGCACUACAACUGCAACACAGCAUUCCUAACCUAGCCCACAAUGUCUGCUGUGUGGAUCAAUCAGUCAACAAGUCAAGCAGUCAUUUGAAAGAGUAAGGCAAGUUCAGCGAGACAAAUCAAAGGCGAAAUCCAUUAAUGCCAAGAUAAUUGAAUUCAUUGCCCUUGACAAUCAACCGUUCUCUGUCAUGGGUGAUUGAGCACCGGUACACACUACCAAGUGGGCUAUUUUUCAGAUGUUGCCCUACCGGAGUUACAUGGUGAUAGCGUCACUGCUAUUAGCUUCACGACUGACAUUUGGACCAGGGAUAACAGCCCCAUGAGCAUGCUGAGUCUGACAGCACAGUGGGUUGUCGAGGAUUUCUUGCUGAGGAAAGUUGUAUUGCAUGCUCAUGAAUGUGCUGGUUGUCAUACCGCUGCUACCAUUUCAAUGGCAUUUGAGAACAUGUUUGAAACUUGGAAACAUGAACACACUAGCUAGCUCCAUUCGAACAACUGACUUGAGAAAUAAGCUCAUCAACUGCGCCUGCAGCAGACGUGAUAGUCUCUGUCAUGGCAUUGAAACGCCUGCUCAACAACUGGUGACACAGGCUGUGAACAAGCUCGAUGCUGUGUACAAGGGCCGCUACUUCGAUGCAGACAAGAAACAGGGUUUACGUGAAAUGUUACAUACACAGCUGGACAAGAUGGAAACAAUGACAGUGCGCAUCGAGGAAGAGAGGACACGGACAGACAGAGCUGAAACUUCACUGCUUGACAGUGGUUGAGAAUUAACCAACUGAACAAAUGAACAACGAAACAGCACAGCAACCCCAAUCGGAGGUCCUGAGCCCGCUGGAGCAGGUUUUUCAUCAAGUCUCCCAGUCCCUGCCACUGAAAAACAUCCCCACACCAUGAUGCUGCCACCACCAUGGAUCACCAUAGGGAUGGUGCCAGGUGUCCUUCAGACCUGACGCUUGGUAUUUAGGCCAAAGAGUUCAAUAUUGGAGAAUCAUGUUUCUCAUGUUCUGAGAGUCCUUUAGGUGCCUGUUGGCUUAUUUCAAGCGGGCUGUCAUGUGCCUUUUACUGAGGAGUGGCUUCCGUCUGGCCACUCUACCAUAAAGGCCUGAUUGGUGGAGUGCUGUAGAGAUGGUUGUCCUUCUGGAAGUGACAAUCGGGUUCUUGGUCACCUCCCUGACCAAGGUCCUUCUCCCCCGAUUGCUCAGUUUGGCCAGGCGGCCAGCUCUAGGAAGAGUCUUGGUGGUUCCAAACUUGGAAUCAUAGAGGCCACUGUGUAAUUGGGGACCUUCAAUGCAGCAGAAUGUUUUUGGGGCUCGACACAAUCCUUUCUCGGAGCUCUACAGACAAUCCCUUCAUCGUCAUGGCUUGGUUUUUGAUCUAACAUGCACUGUCAACUGUGGGACCUUAUAUAAACAGAUGCCUACACAUCAGAAGAUGGUCAAGAGAGUUAUUCUCAUAGAGGGUGACAUAAGGAAGGUGGCCGCGAAGCCUGAUGAAGUUGAGGAUUUGAUUAGCCAAAUUAAAGGAGCACUAGGACUUGAUUGCAACUUCACUUUAACUUGUAACUUGAGCAACAUGGCAGACAUUGAAAAGGCCAUUAAAAGUCAUCCCUGUGCUUGACCUGAUACCCCUCUAUGUGUCAAAUGAAAUACUUAAUGACACACUAUCUGCCGCGAAGCAAAUACAGAUUCUCUCCAACACUUAAUCUCAGGAAAGGUCAAAGCAGUGACCAGAAGUUUGAGAUUUUGAUGUUGAAUAUAGACUAUGACUAGGGGAUCAACUACCUCUUAAGGAUGGAACCUGCCUGUUAUGAAAAAGAGCUGAAACAUGACAUCCUUGUAAACUGACAGAAAGCAUUUACAGCCUUAAGGCGUUCCCAUGAGACACAGAUUUUGAUCAUGUUACUUCAGCACUGGUAAAAAAAAACAUCCUUGUCUUCAACAAAGAGGUUCACCCACGAGUUGGUGUGGAUGUAAGAUCAGCCUCAAGUACAAAAUGGGGAACUUCAGGACAAAGCUACGCAAAGCAGGAUACCAAGAUAUUUCUGUUUCUGUUCUGUUUCUGCGUGAAAGAAACUCAUCUGAGGGAGAACCACCAAACAAGAACAUUAAGAAGGCGAAGAAAUGUGAGCUCAACUUCUUACCCAAUUUUUCUGAGGGGCUUGAUCAAUCCAGCCUUGAAGAUCCACCAAACGUCCUGGUAGAGGAAAUGCAGAAGAGCACACCGAAUGGAUGAACUUUGAAGCAGAAGAUGGAUCUGACAUUUGCUCUGAGACACAAAGAAGUGGUGGAGUCAGAACCUGCCAUAUGCAAGUUGCCUGCCAUAGGAUAGUUGAACGUUGGCCUGCUCUCUUCAAGGAAAAUCUAGUUUCAGUUUUACCCUUUGUUUGACAUAAUGGAUAAUCUCAGGCACCAUCUCAAUUGCAUUAAAUGUGGCUCCACUAAGAACAAAAUGUAUUGAUUGCUGAAAAGAUGCAUGCAUUCCAAAGGUCAACUUGGAGUUCCACCCGAUUGCUUGCAAGAAUUUGUAGCAGGAUUUCUAUGAUGGCCUAGAUCGCCACAGUCCUCGUCUCAUCGAGACUUUCAGAUGCAAGUGUGGACAUGCUGGACAGCUGCUGUCAAAGUUUCUACAAUAAACCAAGGUGACGAUGAGACGGACAUGUCACAAGAGGAAAACAAUGCAAUGUAAAACACAGCGUGCCAAUAAGAAGACCAUUGUGCAAUGCCAAACAAAAGAAGCUUUCCCUGUUGGGCAUCUCUGCACUUGGAGCCAAUCAGAGACCUUCCCUCUUGGACAUUCUCUCCAACUGCUCAGGGAACACACUCUCAGAUUGCCGAAUAUUCAGCUUUUCCAAGACAGCCCAGCAACCAAACACCAAACAUCGCUCAGAUACACAUGCUAUCCUAUUACACCUUUCUCCUCUACAUACUGUAGCUUGCGACCAAAAUGGCCCCCUGUUCC